CAGCAGCCACGGUAAUACGGAGGGUGCAAGCGUUAAUCGGAAUUACUGGGCGUAAAGCGCACGCAGGCGGUCUGUCAAGUCAGAUGUGAAAUCCCCGGGCUUAACCUGGGAACUGCAUUUGAAACUGGCAGGCUAGAGUCUUGUAGAGGGGGGUAGAAUUCCAGGUGUAGCGGUGAAAUGCGUAGAGAUCUGGAGGAAUACCGGUGGCGAAGGCGGCCCCCUGGACAAAGACUGACGCUCAGGUGCGAAAGCGUGGGGAGCAAACAGGAUUAGAGACCCGAGUAGUCCCUGUCUCUUAUAC
This 301-nucleotide ribosomal RNA is filed under the name uncultured bacterium. RNAcentral describes it as "partial 16S ribosomal RNA". It matches the Rfam family "Bacterial small subunit ribosomal RNA", at positions 509 to 807 of the family's 1533-position model. The record is from RNAcentral.